GUGGGUUUAGCACAGCGGUAGUUGCGAAAGAUUGCAACCACCUCGGUCCAUCCGAGGACAGUUGGUAAUCAUCUUUAGGUCCCCGGUUCGAUCCCGGGAACUCACU
Apiotrichum porosum is the source of this 106-nucleotide non-coding RNA. Lineage: Eukaryota; Fungi; Basidiomycota; Tremellomycetes; Trichosporonales; Trichosporonaceae. The record is from the annotation of a RefSeq genome assembly.